This 277-nucleotide ribosomal RNA is filed under the name uncultured bacterium. RNAcentral's name for it is "partial 16S ribosomal RNA". It matches the Rfam family "Bacterial small subunit ribosomal RNA", at positions 355 to 624 of the family's 1533-position model. The record is from RNAcentral.
UAGGGAAUCUUCGGCAAUGGACGAAAGUCUGACCGAGCAACGCCGCGUGAGUGAAGAAGGUUUUCGGAUCGUAAAACUCUGUUGGUAGAGAAGAACGUUGGUGAGAGUGGAAAGCUCAUCAAGUGACGGUAACUACCCAGAAAGGGACGGCUAACUACGUGCCAGCAGCCGCGGUAAUACGUAGGUCCCGAGCGUUGUCCGGAUUUAUUGGGCGUAAAGCGAGCGCAGGUGGUUUAUUAAGUCUGGUGUAAAAGGCAGUGGCUCAACCAUUGUAUGC